Molecule: ribosomal RNA, 466 nt
Filed under: uncultured bacterium
Lineage: Bacteria
Description: bacterial SSU rRNA
Rfam family: Bacterial small subunit ribosomal RNA
Source: RNAcentral
CCUACGGGGGGCAGCAGUGAGGAAUAUUGCGCAAUGGGGGCAACCCUGACGCAGCGACGCCGCGUGAGUGAGGAAGGUUUUCGGAUCGUAAAGCUCUGUCAGAAGGGAAGAAGUGUUAAAUGGUUAAUACCCAUAUAAUUUGACGGUACCUUCAGAGGAAGCACCGGCUAACUCCGUGCCAGCAGCCGCGGUAAUACGGAGGGUGCGAGCGUUGUUCGGAAUUACUGGGCGUAAAGGGCGCGUAGGCGGCUUGAUAAGUCAGAUGUGAAAGUCCAUGGCUCAACUGUGGAAGUGCAUUUGAAACUGUCUGGCUUGAGUAUUGGAGGGGAAAGUGGAAUUCCCGGUGUAGAGGUGAAAUUCGUAGAGAUCGGGAGGAACACCUGUGGCGAAGGCGACUUUCUGGACAAAUACUGACGCUGAGGCGCGAAAGCGUGGGGAGCAAACAGGAUUAGAUACCCGUGUAGUC